GCUUAACGUCCAUACCCAUGCAUGCUUUAAGGUUUUGGAAUGGUUCUGGGCUGGUCCCUCACACUGCAUAUAUGAACUGGCUGGAGAUCAUUAUGUGGACUUCCAGAAUGGAUUUUCUGAUGUAGUUUUGUCUGAAAGUCUUGGCUUGUGAAGAUUCUAGUGUCCCAAGAGGAUGGGCCUUUUAAGUGAAUGAUACAGGUCUUCAGUUUCGACAUAGAGAAUUAUCUUUCUGUAUGACUAAAUUUGACAAACUCGUAUCCGUCAUGUGAAAAUAGUGUGCAUGAGAAUCUUCCCCAGGUGACAACUUCAUAAGAACUGAUAAGUACCUGCAAAAGGUCCAGAGUAGUUUGUCCAUUGUGAUGAUCCAUCAAUGUCCUGAGUUUGAAGGGGAGGUCAACAAGAAGUGCUGGAAGGCAUGAGUCUCAGGAAGCCUGCAGAAUGCCAAAGCACAUGUCUGUGUAAGUGUCAGACUUGUAAAUCAGCUUUGGUACAAAAGUUUAACAAUGGGGAAAUGGUCACAUACAAACAUUCGUUUGGGGAUUAGGCUUAUGAGUCUGGCUGCUUUUAAACACUUCAGCUGACACUGAUAUGAAACCAGGGCAUAAAACCAGGAGCCUGACAUUGCCAGUUGCCUUCAAAUUACCAUGUCUGAUGAGAGAAAAAAGAGAUGAAGUUAAUGGAGAAAUGGGACAGGUCAUCUGGACUCUGAUAAUUAAUGUUCCCUAGAAAAUAAAAGUUUUGAAACUUUCCUGGAAAUGAAGUUUUAUGAUCUGCUACAACAGCCCACAGGGGGAAUGCUGCAACCUACACAUAUUGACAAUUGUGGUAUUACCAGACAAUUAAUUUUUAUGAGUAAUUUCCAGAGCAACCCUCAACCAUGCAGUCACGCAUACAGUGCAAGAGUGUGCCAUGGAAUCGAGACUCAGCUAAAGGCCAAAGAUUAUACAGAUUUAUUAAUAUUUGCAAAAAAGUUCCCAACAGUGGAGAGCAAAUUGAGCAACAGAAUGGGGAAGAAGGAAUGGACUUGACAAUAAAACGAGUUUUGUAAGGAUAUGAUCCAGAGCAUAGUGAACUCAACAGAAAGAUUUCCACUGAUUUUUUUUUUUUAAGGUCUUGGAUAGAUCUUGAGAAAUGAGACACUCUAUCUUAUACCUUUCCCCCUACUUUCUCCAUCUGAAUGGAAAAUACAUUGUUCACAACUGGCAUAUACCCUUUAGUGACCAAGAAUUACAAGCAAAAUGUUGAACCCAUUUGAGAUGCAGAGCCAAGAAUCCCAACCUAAGCAGUCCCAGAAAUGGUUCUGCAAGGGCUAAGCAACUGACAAAUUCUCUCUAACAGUACCUUCAUAUUUGUAUUAGAAUAGUCUUACCUUGUACUUAACUUUGCAAACACAUUCUGCUUUCUCACUUAAAACUCAGAGGAUAAUGGAGUAACUGGAUUUAUAAUUUAAUUUCUCUUAAAUUCUUCUCCAUACACACCUUGCAAAGGUAAUGACUUGUUUAGUUUUCCUCUAUUCACGUCUAGUCUAAGUGGUAAUAGCUGUUACUUUUAAACAGCUUUAAGUACUUCAGUAGUUCUUAAACCAUGCAAAGGAAUACUUGUGAUAAAAGAACAAUGAACAGAGAUUACUGGAGAUGAAGUUGUAGAACUGAAUUUGUCUAUAUAUCAUUCAGAAAAAAACAAUAGCUCUGUCAAAGUCCCUGUUAAAUGCUGUUAGACAAAAUUAUAUACUUUGCACUAGGUGAGUCUAUGUAGAUCACAGAUUACGGCCCCAAGUGAUAGAUCUCCAAGAUAAGCUUGGUUACCUGUUUUCAAAAUUUUUCCUUCUGUGGGAACAAAAGAUUUCUGUCUAAUGUAAGUAAUAUUUGAGAAACUCAUCCUGCUGUGAUAGCAACUCUUAUUUCAUCCUACACACUGAAGAACAUAAUUUAUCUUAACACUAGGCAUUGAGCAAAGCUAGCUAUGGGGAAGUAGUACUAAUAGGGUUUCCUUUUACUGCUGAACUCAAUUGAAAUCUUCAGUCAAGCCAAGCCUGGUUUAAGUACUCUGCUGGUUAUUUUCUUUAGCAUGGUGUGAAAGACCAAGGCUGCUUUAUUGCAAGGGAAGGAGAAGUUACCAACAUGCUGAGUUGAGGAGCUGGUGACAACACACAGAAAGAGAAAUUGGCAUUACUUCCCAUCACUUUGGAGAUACAAGAAUAGACUUCUUUACAGAGAAAAUCAAAACAUUUUCAGUGGAGAAUGCUCAACAGAAAGUGCUGCUGCUGCUGAAGAGAGUGCUGAAGGAUUGCAGCCUUCUCAGUAUCCAGCAGAUCAGGACUAAACGCUUCCAGGUCCCUAAGAACAAGCCCCUCUCCUUGCCCAGGCUGUACAUGAUUGGAGUGCCUGCUUCUCACCUUCUCAUCAGCCUGGAUUCCAUCUGUAUCAGAAAGCCCAAAUUCCAUGGUCUGAGGAAUCACAAUCAUUGUAGGUGCUGGCUUUCCCUCUGUGGAAUCACUCUGUGCUGCUUCCUCCAGGAUCCUGUAAGGUAGCAUCAGUGGUGACAGUUGUCCUUCACCUGACCUCAACACAUACACAAACCCCUUAACAACAGGCAUUGGCAUCUCCUUCUGCAAGGUGAUUCUGACCUAGGCGUCAGAACACCAGCAGUGCCUAAAGCUUUGCAACACAAUACAAAAUACACGGUAGAAUUGGGUUAAAAGAUCAGAAAUGAAAAAGACCUGCAUUUUUUUGCUGUUACAGCACUGGACAU
This is a long non-coding RNA of Hirundo rustica (Barn swallow), 2751 nucleotides long. RefSeq lists it as uncharacterized. NCBI's taxonomy places the organism in Eukaryota, Metazoa, Chordata, Aves, Passeriformes, Hirundinidae. The transcript has 5 exons. The record is from RefSeq and is a predicted model, not a curated record.